This 253-nucleotide ribosomal RNA is filed under the name uncultured bacterium. RNAcentral describes it as "partial 16S ribosomal RNA". It matches the Rfam family "Bacterial small subunit ribosomal RNA", at positions 524 to 776 of the family's 1533-position model. The record is from RNAcentral.
UACGGAAGGGGCAAGCGUUGUUCAGAAUCAUUGGGCGUAAAGGGCGCGUAGGUGGUUCUGUAUGUCUACCGUGAAAGCAUACAGCUCAACUGUAUUUUGUCGGUAGAAACUGCAGGACUUGAGGCUGGGAGGGGCUGGUGGAAUUCCCUGUGUAGCGGUGAAAUGCGUAGAGAUGGGGGAGAACACUCGUGGCGAAGGCGGCCAGCUAGACCAGUUCUGACACUGAGGCGCGACAGCGUGGGGAGCAAACAGG